This is a non-coding RNA of Schizosaccharomyces pombe (fission yeast), 538 nucleotides long. Lineage: Eukaryota; Fungi; Ascomycota; Schizosaccharomycetes; Schizosaccharomycetales; Schizosaccharomycetaceae. The record is from the annotation of a GenBank genome assembly.
UAUCUUGUAAAGUGUCAGAUGAACUAGAAAUCCUACGGUAUUUAAAACCUCGUCAAGCUUUAAUAAUCAUCUUUUUUAUCUAUGUGUCGCAAGUACAUCUCCGGAUAACGAAAUUGCCGCCUUCAGUUUCGUAUCUAUCCAAGAGAACCAUAACAUGUCUUCAAGAUUCUUAACGUUCCCACGGAAGUGCACUCUGGCUCAGAAAAACUAGCUCGUCCGAAAACAAUUAAAUGAAUACUGCUAACCAACUCUCAUCUAAGAGGGUCGAAUUGACUGGGUUUACUACCCAAGACGUGAAUUGUUUAACACAGAGAAGUGCUUUUUUGUGAGUAUCUCCUAGGAAUUUCCAUUUCAGCGAUUAGCAUGCAAAUCUUACAAAAGAUUGUAUGAAAAACCAACGUUUUGUUUUAGCGCCAUAUUACCGCUGCAAGAAAUAAAAAAUACAAAACAAGUCAUAGUUUAUUUAAGUAUAAAAAAUUCAUUUCCUUUCAAGCAUCCUUAGUCGUUCUGAAUUCUCGACCUCUAGUUAAACGUAAAU